Molecule: ribosomal RNA, 588 nt
Filed under: Fictibacillus fluitans
Lineage: Bacteria; Bacillati; Bacillota; Bacilli; Caryophanales; Fictibacillaceae
Description: partial 23S ribosomal RNA
Rfam family: Bacterial large subunit ribosomal RNA
Source: RNAcentral
GGUUAAGCUAGAAAGGGCGCACGGUGGAUGCCUUGGCACUAGGAGCCGAAGAAGGACGGGACGAACACCGAUAUGCCUCGGGGAGCUGUAAGUAAGCAUUGAUCCGGGGAUUUCCGAAUGGGGGAACCCACCAUCCGUAAUGGGAUGGUAUCCAUAUCUGAAUACAUAGGAUAUGAGAAGGCAGACCCGGGGAACUGAAACAUCUAAGUACCCGGAGGAAGAGAAAGCAAAUGCGAUUUCCUGAGUAGCGGCGAGCGAAACGGAAUCAGCCCAAACCAGAGGGCUUGCCCUCUGGGGUUGUAGGACACUCUAUACGGAGUUACAAAGGAACGGGGUAGAUGAAGCGGUCUGGAAAGGCCGGCCAAAGAAGGUAACAGCCCUGUAGUUGAAACCUCGUUCCCUCCAGAGUGGAUCCUGAGUACGGCGGGACACGUGAAACCCCGUCGGAAUCCGGGAGGACCAUCUCCCAAGGCUAAAUACUCCCUAGUGACCGAUAGUGAACCAGUACCGUGAGGGAAAGGUGAAAAGCACCCCGGAAGGGGAGUGAAAGAGAUCCUGAAACCGUGUGCCUACAAGUAGUUGGAGCCC